This is a non-coding RNA of Phascolarctos cinereus (koala), 1131 nucleotides long. The record is from RefSeq and is a predicted model, not a curated record. Lineage: Eukaryota; Metazoa; Chordata; Mammalia; Diprotodontia; Phascolarctidae.
GAGCUGUCAGGCUGGAUCCAGUGUAGUCAGCUCUGUAGUCCAUAGAUAUUCUCUCUCUCUCUCUCUCUCUCUCUCUCUCUCUCUCUCUCUCUCUCUCUCUCUCUCUCUUUCAUCUUCUUCUCUCAAGAUACACCAACUGUUCGUGAAACAGUUUUUACCCACAAUGGAUUUUCAUGUCCUUUUUCAGGAAGUGUCCCUGGAUUGACAUGUCCUCUACCUGACUUGGUUCUCUGGCACAGAUGUGAUCCUAGGUGCCUCUCUCCUCCUCCCAACCUUCAGAAAAGCCCAAUUGCUGAGGACAGAGCCAAGACUUUGUCAAGGUACAUAGCCCAGCCCUAGCAUGAAAAUUGGAACCUCCCAUCAUUCUCAUUCUUCUCCAAGAUUUACUUGGGUGGGAAGAAUCCAGUUUGUUGGAACACUAGCAGACCUUGGAGGGAAGAGGAGAUACCUGAUUCUGACUUCCACGGACCUUGGUGAAGGGCAGUAGUGUCCUACAAUAGGACCAAUUCAGGGGCUAAGCAAACUGAACUCUCCUGAGAAACUGUGUUAAUUGGCGGUCUUACCCCUCCUAACAUCACUUUCUAUGGACUCUUGUGGGUGCAGGUCAGGGAGGAGAUAAGACAUGGAACUGACUAUUAGAGAGCCCUUGAAAUUCAACAGUGCCUGGAAGAAGCCUUACCUGACCCACCCUGGUUGCAGUUCUGUUUCUACCUAAUACAAAUGCUACCUCCUUCAGGAAGCUUUCCUUUUUGAUGAUAACAAAAAAGGACUUCAAUUUGUACUAUUGUACUUAUGCAAUAUUUUAAACUAUCAUUAUCUGCAUUUGUGUCUUAUUCUUGUACUAAACUGUUAAGUUCUGUAAGAGCAGAGACUAUGUCUUAUGUAAGCUUUAUACUUUAUACUGACCAGCACAAUCAGCUCUUAAAUGUGUUAAUUAAAUCUGAAUUUGGAAUUUAGUUGUGAGUCCUUGGGCUAAAUGUAGAAUGCCUCCUGCUACAACCAGAAGCCUUAGCUCUCGAACCCAAAGAUGAGGUUACAAGGUUGCCUUGGGCCAGGGAUUGUCUUUGAAAUGUUAUUACUACUACGUUUUCUGUUUCUAAUGGGUUUUGAAGGAUAUUUAGACAUAGUUGC